UACGAAGGGGGCUAGCGUUGCUCGGAAUCAUUGGGCGUAAAGCGCACGUAGGCGGAUUGCUAAGUCAGGGGUGAAAUCCUGGAGCUCAACUCCAGAACUGCCUUUGAUACUGGCGACCUUGAGUCCGGGAGAGGUGAGUGGAACUGCGAGUGUAGAGGUGAAAUUCGUAGAUAUUCGCAAGAACACCAGUGGCGAAGGCGGCUCACUGGCCCGGUACUGACGCUGAGGUGCGAAAGCGUGGGGAGCAAACAGG
Molecule: ribosomal RNA, 253 nt
Filed under: uncultured bacterium
Lineage: Bacteria
Description: partial 16S ribosomal RNA
Rfam family: Bacterial small subunit ribosomal RNA
Source: RNAcentral